GUGGGGAAUCUUCCGCAAUGGACGAAAGUCUGACGGAGCGACGCCGCGUGAGUGAAGAAGGCCUUCGGGUCGUAAAGCUCUGUCAUCAGGGACGAACGGCCGGUGGAGUGGAAAGCCACCGGAUUGACGGUACCUGAGAAGGAAGCCACGGCUAACUACGUGCCAGCAGCCGCGGUAAUACGUAGGUGGCAAGCGUUGUCCGGAAUUAUUGGGCGUAAAGCGCGCGCAGGUGGGAUCUUAAGUCCAUUUUUAAAGUUCGGAGCUCAACUCCGUGAUGGGAUGGAAACUGGGAGUCUUGAGUACCGGAGAGGAAAGCGGAAUUCCCCGUGUAGCGGUGAAAUGCGUAGAUAUGGGGAGGAACACCAGUGGCGAAGGCGGCUUUCUGGACGGUGUCUGACACUGAGGCGCGAAAGCCAGGGGAGCGAACGGGAUUAGAAACCCUUGUAGUCC
Molecule: ribosomal RNA, 450 nt
Filed under: uncultured bacterium
Lineage: Bacteria
Description: partial 16S ribosomal RNA
Rfam family: Bacterial small subunit ribosomal RNA
Source: RNAcentral